UACAGAGGUCUCAAGCGUUGUUCGGAUUCAUUGGGCGUAAAGGGUGCGUAGGCGGCGCGGUAAGUCGGGUGUGAAAUCUUGGAGCUUAACUCCGAAACUGCAUUCGAUACUACCGUGCUUGAGGACUGGAGAGGAGACUGGAAUUUACGGUGUAGCGGUGAAAUGCGUAGAUAUCGUAAGGAAGACCAGUGGCGAAGGCGGGUCUCUGGACAGUUCCUGACGCUGAGGCACGAAGGCCAGGGGAGCAAACGGG
Molecule: ribosomal RNA, 253 nt
Filed under: uncultured bacterium
Lineage: Bacteria
Description: partial 16S ribosomal RNA
Rfam family: Bacterial small subunit ribosomal RNA
Source: RNAcentral